Molecule: ribosomal RNA, 493 nt
Filed under: uncultured bacterium
Lineage: Bacteria
Description: partial 16S ribosomal RNA
Rfam family: Bacterial small subunit ribosomal RNA
Source: RNAcentral
AUUGAACGCUGGCGGCAUGCUUUACACAUGCAAGUCGAACGGUAACAGGUUAAGCUGACGAGUGGCGAACGGGUGAGUAAUGCAUCGGAACGUGCCCGAUCGUGGGGGAUAACGCAGCGAAAGCUGCGCUAAUACCGCAUACGAUCUGAGGAUGAAAGCGGGGGACCGGAAGGCCUCGCGCGAUCGGAGCGGCCGAUGUCAGAUUAGGUAGUUGGUGGGGUAAAGGCUCACCAAGCCGACGAUCUGUAGCUGGUCUGAGAGGACGACCAGCCAAACUGGGACUGAGACACGGCCCAGACUCCUACGGGAGGCAGCAGUGGGGAAUUUUGGACAAUGGGCGAAAGCCUGAUCCAGCAAUGCCGCGUGCAGGAAGAAGGCCUUCGGGUUGUAAACUGCUUUUGUACGGAGCGAAAAGGCUCUCUCUAAUACAGGGGGCUCAUGACGGUACCGUAAGAAUAAGCACCGGCUAACUACGUGCCAGCCGCCGCAGUAA